CUGCAAUUUCACUGCUCAAUUCCCUGUCAUUUAGGAGUUAAAUCACUUUGUUUCUGUUUAUGCAGCCCUAGCCACACCUCCCCUGGCUAUGAUUGACAGAGCCUGCAUGAAAAAAAAACAAAAAAAAACUGGUUUCACUUUCAAACAGAUGUAAAUUACCUUAAAUAAUUGUAUCUCAAUCUCUAAAUUGAACUUUAAUCACAUACAG
RNAcentral lists this long non-coding RNA (208 nucleotides) under Pelobates cultripes (western spadefoot toad). The record is from RNAcentral. Lineage: Eukaryota; Metazoa; Chordata; Amphibia; Anura; Pelobatidae.